Myotis brandtii (Brandt's bat) is the source of this 77-nucleotide non-coding RNA. The record is from Rfam. Lineage: Eukaryota; Metazoa; Chordata; Mammalia; Chiroptera; Vespertilionidae.
GGCAGUUCUCAGGUGAUGCACCCCAGAAUUGGGCUCCCUCCUCUCUGGUUUCGGGUGUGUCAGCUCGGAGAACUACA